CUGACCGGUGGCGGUGCGAUACGUGGCGUGCUUCACUGAGCGUAGAGCAACAAGGGCGGAGUCAGAGGGAGAGACACAACAACGGCACCCGGCGGCAAACGGGUGCCGUUGUCCACCUCUCCCUCGCUUCGUACUUG
RNAcentral lists this small RNA (137 nucleotides) under Actinoplanes sp. SE50/110. RNAcentral describes it as "non-coding RNA with unknown function". Lineage: Bacteria; Bacillati; Actinomycetota; Actinomycetes; Micromonosporales; Micromonosporaceae. The record is from RNAcentral.